This 471-nucleotide small RNA is filed under the name Vigna angularis var. angularis. Its description in RNAcentral is "Non-protein coding transcript". Lineage: Eukaryota; Viridiplantae; Streptophyta; Magnoliopsida; Fabales; Fabaceae. The record is from RNAcentral.
UUGUUCUUGAAGCCGUGAAUUGGAAUGGAAAUCUCACUUGCACUGUUGUUGCACUGGGGACUGCAGUAUCAUAAUUUUAGUUGUGGUUGAAACAGAGAAGAGCAAAGAUCUUCCGAAGCAGAGCACACAUUGGUCACAUCCUUUUUUGAAGAGAGAAUCAUCUUAAGGUGAUGUAACCUAGCCAUCCUACGACGUAGCAAGAAGCCCAUUUGGAAGAGGCUGGAUUUGAGGGUGACCAAAGUAGAAACCUGCAUGUUCAUCAUAAAAGGGUUAGGGUGUAGGUAUUUUUUUUUUCUUAUAUAUGAACGAUAGAUGUAUAGUACAAAAAGAAGUUUUUGUUUUUUUGCGUUGUUUUUUAUCAUCGUGUUGAUAUUUCUUUUCCUUUUCAGCUGCCUUCAAUUGAACACUUACAUUUUGUGCACAUUGAAUAAUUGUGUUCUUUUAAAUCUUGUAGUACCCUUAAUUUUUGAG